RNAcentral lists this small nuclear RNA (33 nucleotides) under Eremothecium gossypii ATCC 10895. RNAcentral describes it as "AgSNR68 (AGOS_AgSNR68)". RNAcentral also lists the same sequence under 1 other name. The record is from RNAcentral. Lineage: Eukaryota; Fungi; Ascomycota; Saccharomycetes; Saccharomycetales; Saccharomycetaceae.
UGCGUUAUCGUCUUGAAACUGUUUAAGUACAGU